RNAcentral lists this ribosomal RNA (728 nucleotides) under uncultured Glomeromycotina. RNAcentral's name for it is "SSU rRNA". It matches the Rfam family "Eukaryotic small subunit ribosomal RNA", at positions 373 to 1096 of the family's 1831-position model. The record is from RNAcentral. Lineage: Eukaryota; Fungi; Glomeromycota.
GGGUUCGAUUCCGGAGAGGGAGCCUGAGAAACGGCUACCACAUCCAAGGAAGGCAGCAGGCGCGCAAAUUACCCAAUCCCGACACGGGGAGGUAGUGACAAUAAAUAACAAUACGGGGCUCUUUCGGGUCUCGUAAUUGGAAUGAGUACAAUUUAAAUCCCUUAACGAGGAACAAUUGGAGGGCAAGUCUGGUGCCAGCAGCCGCGGUAAUUCCAGCUCCAAUAGCGUAUAUUAAAGUUGUUGCAGUUAAAAAGCUCGUAGUUGAAUUUCGGGAUUGACACAUCGGUCGUGCCUUAAGGGGUAUGAACUGGUGUAGUCAAUUUCUCACCUUCUGGAGAACCGCGAUGCCCUUAAUUGGGUGUCGCGGGGAACCAGGACCUUUACUUUGAAAAAAUUAGAGUGUUUAAAGCAGGCAUUUUGCUUGAAUACAUUAGCAUGGAAUAAUAAAAUAGGACGGCAUGAUUCUAUUUUGUUGGUUUCUAGGAUCACCGUAAUGAUUAAUAGGGAUAGUUGGGGGCACUAGUAUUCAAUUGUCAGAGGUGAAAUUCUUGGAUUUAUUGAAGACUAACUACUGCGAAAGCAUUUGCCAAGGAUGUUUUCAUUAAUCAAGAACGAAAGUUAGGGGAUCGAAGACGAUCAGAUACCGUCGUAGUCUUAACCAUAAACUAUGCCGACUAGGAAUCAGACGAUGUUAAUUUUUUAAUGACUCGUUUGGCACCUUACGGGAA